This 497-nucleotide ribosomal RNA is filed under the name uncultured bacterium. Its description in RNAcentral is "partial 16S ribosomal RNA". It matches the Rfam family "Bacterial small subunit ribosomal RNA", at positions 28 to 507 of the family's 1533-position model. The record is from RNAcentral.
GAUGAACGCUGGCGGCGUGCCUAAUACAUGCAAGUCGAGCGAACGGACGAGAAGCUUGCUUCUCUGAUGUUAGCGGCGGACGGGUGAGUAACACGUGGAUAACCUACCUAUAAGACUGGGAUAACUUCGGGAAACCGGAGCUAAUACCGGAUGAUAUUUUGAACCGCAUUGUUCAAAAGUGAAAGACGGUCUUGCUGUCACUUAUAGAUGGAUCCGCGCUGCAUUAGCUAGUUGGUAAGGUAACGGCUUACCAAGGCAACGAUGCAUAGCCGACCUGAGAGGGUGAUCGGCCACACUGGAACUGAGACACGGUCCAGACUCCUACGGGAGGCAGCAGUAGGGAAUCUUACGCAAUGGGCGAAAGCCUGACGGAGCAACGCCGCGUGAGUGAUGAAGGUCUUCGGAUCGUAAAACUCUGUUAUUAGGGAAGAACAUAUGUGUAAGUAACUGUGCACAUAUUGACGGUACCUAAUCAGAAAGCCACGGCUAACUACGUG